This 618-nucleotide ribosomal RNA is filed under the name Paenibacillus sp. CSS23. RNAcentral describes it as "bacterial SSU rRNA". It matches the Rfam family "Bacterial small subunit ribosomal RNA", at positions 173 to 792 of the family's 1533-position model. Lineage: Bacteria; Bacillati; Bacillota; Bacilli; Caryophanales; Paenibacillaceae. The record is from RNAcentral.
AUUCAUUUUCUCUCAUGAGAAGAGGAUGAUCGGCGGAGCAAUCUGCUACUAGAGGGAUGGGCCUGCGGCGCAUUAGCUAGUUGGUGAGGUAACGGCUCACCAAGGCGACGAUGCGUAGCCGACCUGAGAGGGUGAACGGCCACACUGGGACUGAGACACGGCCCAGACUCCUACGGGAGGCAGCAGUAGGGAAUCUUCCGCAAUGGGCGAAAGCCUGACGGAGCAACGCCGCGUGAGUGAUGAAGGUUUUCGGAUCGUAAAGCUCUGUUGCCAGGGAAGAACGUCCGGUAGAGUAACUGCUACCGGAGUGACGGUACCUGAGAAGAAAGCCCCGGCUAACUACGUGCCAGCAGCCGCGGUAAUACGUAGGGGGCAAGCGUUGUCCGGAAUUAUUGGGCGUAAAGCGCGCGCAGGCGGCUAUUAAGUCUGGUGUUUAAACCUUGGGCUCACCUGGGGUCGCACUGGAACUGGAUGGCUUGAGUAAAAAGAGGAAAGUGGGAUUCCCCGUGUAGCGGUGAAAUGCGUUGAUAUGUGGAAGAACACCAGUGGCGAAGGCGACUUUUGGGCGGUACUUGACCCGGGAGCCGAGCGUGGGGGCCAACAGAUAAAUACCUGGUA